This is a long non-coding RNA of Chelonia mydas (Green sea turtle), 703 nucleotides long. RefSeq lists it as uncharacterized. The transcript has 3 exons. Lineage: Eukaryota; Metazoa; Chordata; Testudines; Cheloniidae. The record is from RefSeq and is a predicted model, not a curated record.
GUUAACUCCAGGAGCAUUCACUGGUGCACAGGUGGGGAGAAUAGAUCCUUCACAUUGACUACAAAAUGAGCUUUCUGAAUAACCUCUGUCCAGCCAGGAGGAUUGCUAGGAACAGCUACAAUCAACAGGUACAACAGUAAUGUUUCAGUUAUUAAACACAACCAUGUUUAAUAUAGUGUGCUAACAAGUAUUUAGGGAAAGAGAAUGAGGCAGUGCUGGAGCAGGCCAACCAGGGUUCUCAGCAGAAAAUUCUGAAGAAAACAUCUGGGAGCAAGGAAGACUCCAUGCCCAGUCACUGUGGCACUAAGAUGGUAACCCAGAUGGAAGAGGAGGGAAUGUACUGAUUUUGUUUUCUAGUUCUGUAAAACAAUAUCUGUUUGUAUUCUGUUAUUGUAACUACUGCAUUUCAAGAGCCUCAGGUAAUAAAACCCUUAAGGAAGAACAUAGCUAACUUCCUGGACUGUUUAGAUUUGAAUAUUAAACAGCUGACCUAAUCUAUCAGCUCAAACAGCUGUUCUGUUAGGUAGUCACUCUGGAGUACUUUUACUUCAUUUAUGAGAAAUAUAAUAAACAGCAUAAUUCUAUUCUCCUUUGAGGAGCUUUGAAUGUCUGUUGCUAACCGAGCUCAUUCCAUCUGCUUAAGUGCCAGAAUCGUUGGGGUUUUUUUUUUGCCUUUGUUUAAAAAUACUGCUAUAAAAAUACA